CCCAAAAAAUUUAAUUUUCCCUCCCAAAAUUUUAAAUUAUUUUAGUAAAAAAAUUCACAUUUUUUUCCCAAAUAAUUCACAUUCUCCCCCCUAAAAUUUCAAAUUAUUUUAGUAAAAAAUUCACUUUUUUUGCCCAAAAAAUUCCCUCUGAAAAUCAAUUUAUUUGCCCCCAAAAAUCAGAUUUUUUCCCAAAUAAAUUCAGAUUUUUCCCCCAAAAAUUAUCAAUUUUUCCCCCAAAAAUUCUGUUUUUUUAACAGAAAAAUCAAUUUAAAAUAUCUUUUUUUUUUUCCAAAAAAAUCUGAUUUUUUCUCAGAAAUAUUUGGAAUUUUUUCCCUUAAAAAUUCACUUUUUCCCUCAAUAAUUCAGAUUUUUUUCACCAAAAAAAUUUAAUUUUUUUUCAAAAAAAUUCAGUUUUCUUCCACCCAAAAAUUCAUUUUUUUCCCGUGAAAAAAAAUUGAUUUUUCAGUGAAUUUUUUAGUGGAAAUUUUGGAGGAUUUUGACCCAAAAAUUGAAUUUUUUCCCAUAAAAACUUCGAUUUUUCACCUGGAAUUUUUGGACAGAAUUGACCCUAAAAAAGGUGAGAAAAUGACCAAAAAAUUCAAAUUUUUUUCCCCCAAAAUUUGAAUAUUUUUUCUUAAAAAUUUGAUUUUUCACGGAGAUUUAAGCAACAAAAAUUCAAUUUUUUUUUCCCCAAAAUUUGGUUUUUUUUCCCCUAAAAAAUCCAAAUUUUCCAUUUUUACUCUUUAAGAAAUCCCUAAAAUAAUUCUGAAAAAAAAUCAAAUUACAUUUUAAAUUCAAAUGAAAUAAAAUUUUUAAAGCCACCUUAAUUUAUUAAUUAAUAAAAAUUAUUUUAAAUAUCUCAAAUUUUUACCAAAUUUUUUUUUGCUGUAAAAUUUGGAAUUUUUAAGAGAUUUUUAAGGUGAAAAAUCUUUAAAAAAUCGGAAUUUUGAGGUGAAAAAUCCUCAAAAAAUCGAAAUAUUUGCAGAAAUAUUUUGAUUUUUUGGGGGGAAUUUUUGCAGAAAUAUUUUGAUUUUUUUGGGGGAAUUUUUGCAGAAAUAUUUUGAUUUUUUUUGGGAAUUUUUGCAGAAAUAUUUUGAUUUUUUUGGGAAUUUUUGCAGAAAUAUUUUGAUUUUUUUGGGAAUUUUUUGGGAAUUUUUGGGAUUUUUCCCGGAAUUUUUUCGGGAUUUGGUGCAUGAGGAAAAGCCCCAGGAAAUGGCAAAAAAAGAUGGAAAAAAGCGGAAAAAAAAGGAAAAAAAAAAGAUUAAAAAAAUGAAAAUAAUUGAGAAUAAAAGGAGGAGGCUGCGGAGUUUUUAUUGGGAAAUGGGGAUUAAUUGGGGAUUAAUUAAUUGGGGGUUUUAAUUGGAAUUUAUUGGGAUUUAUUUGGGAAUUUAUUGGGAUUUAAUUGGGGUUUUAAUUGGGAAUUUAUUGGGAUUUAUUUGGGGUUUAAUUGGGAAUUUAUUCGGGAUUUAAUUGGAAAUUAAUUGGGGUUUUAUUGGGGUUUAAUUGAGAUUUAAUUAGGAUUUAAUUGGGGAAUUAAUGAGGAUUUUAUUGGGAUUUAUUGGGGAUUUAAUUGGAAAUUAAUUGGGGUUUUAUUCGGGUUUAAUUGAGAUUUAAUUAGGAUUUUAUUGGGAUUUAUUGAGAUUUUACUGCAAAUUAAUUUUGAUUUAUUUAGAAUUUAAUUAGAAAUUAAUUGGGGUUUAAUUGAGAUUUAAUUAGGAUUUAAUUAGGGAAUUAAUGAGGAUUUUAUUGGGAUUUAUUGAGAUUUUACUGCAAAUUAAUUGGGAUUUAUUCGGGACUUAAUUGGAAAUUAAUUGGGGCUUUAUUUGGGUUUUAUUGGGGUUUAAUUGAUAUUUAAUUAGGAUUUAAUUGGGAAUUAAUGAGGUUUUUAUUGGGAUUUAUUGGGAUUUUACUGCAAAUUAAUUGGGAUUUAUUUGGGAUUUUGGGGUUGGAAAAUUGGGAAUUAAUUGGGAAUUAAUUGGGAUUCAAUUGGGAAUUAAUUGGAAAUCUGGGUUUUAAUUAGGAAUUAAUUGGGGAUUAAUUGGGAUUGGGCUGGGAUUUAAUUGGGGAUUAAUUGGGGUUGGAAAUCGGGAUUUAAUUGGGAUUUUAGUGAGAUUUAAU
This 2118-nucleotide long non-coding RNA is filed under the name Junco hyemalis (dark-eyed junco). Its description in RNAcentral is "lncRNA (ENSJHYG00000011231.1)". Lineage: Eukaryota; Metazoa; Chordata; Aves; Passeriformes; Passerellidae. The record is from RNAcentral.